AUAAAAACAAAAUGAUUUUGUUACUGGCUUUUACGACCUUAAUUCUCUCAGUUUAUGGACAACAAUGCCCUAAUGGAUAUCAACAGCAUGAACAGUCCUGUUACGCUGUAGUAACUUUCAGAUCCAGUUGGGUUGAUGCUGAGACAAUGUGUCAAGCAGCUGGUAGUCACCUGGCUUCUAUUGAAACAGACGCAGAACGACUUUAUCUCAACCAAUAUAUUAAUUUUUCACACGGUGAUGCCUACAGAUAUUACUGGGUUGGUGCUUUCAACUUUAUUGAUGGUACCUACAUGUGGGUUGGAACCCAGAAAGGAUUAGGCAAUGUAUCUUGGAAGGCUGGAGAACCAACAAACCGACCAGGGGAACAUUGUUUAGUGAUGGUACAAGAUGAAAAUUCUUUGUUGGCUGAUCUGGGUUGUGAUUCAGUCGAAGCAUUUGUCUGUGAACUCGAGUUAACUUCACCAAUAUUAGGCUAAUACCAACACGAAUUUCUAUGGUCCUUUGAUGCUUGAAAAUAAAACGAUUCCAGUGAUUAUAAGAAAA
This is a long non-coding RNA of Patella vulgata (common limpet), 543 nucleotides long. RefSeq lists it as uncharacterized. The transcript is spliced from 5 exons. NCBI's taxonomy places the organism in Eukaryota, Metazoa, Mollusca, Gastropoda, Patellidae. The record is from RefSeq and is a predicted model, not a curated record.